RNAcentral lists this ribosomal RNA (875 nucleotides) under uncultured bacterium. RNAcentral describes it as "bacterial SSU rRNA". It matches the Rfam family "Bacterial small subunit ribosomal RNA", at positions 12 to 902 of the family's 1533-position model. The record is from RNAcentral.
UUUGAUCCUGGCUCAGGACGAACGCUGGGGGCGCCUAACACAUGCAAGUCGAACGAGAGAUGAGGAGCUUGCUCUUCAAAUCGAGUGGCGAACGGGUGAGUAACGCGUGAGGAACCUGCCUCAAAGAGGGGGACAACAGUUGGAAACGACUGCUAAUACCGCAUAAGCCCACGGCUCGGCAUCGAGCAGAGGGAAAAGGAGCAAUCCGCUUUGAGAUGGCCUCGCGUCCGAUUAGCUAGUUGGUGAGGUAACGGCCCACCAAGGCGACGAUCGGUAGCCGGACUGAGAGGUUGAACGGCCACAUUGGGACUGAGACACGGCCCAGACUCCUACGGGAGGCAGCAGUGGGGAAUAUUGCACAAUGGGGGAAGCCCUGAUGCAGCGACGCCGCGUGGAGGAAGAAGGUCUUCGGAUUGUAAACUCCUGUUGUUGAGGAAGAUAAUGACGGUACUCAGCAAGGAAGUGACGGCUAACUACGUGCCAGCAGCCGCGGUAAAACGUAGGUCACAAGCGUUGUCCGGAAUUACUGGGUGUAAAGGGAGCGCAGGCGGGAGAACAAGUUGGAAGUGAAAUCCAUGGGCUCAACCCAUGAACUGCUUUCAAAACUGUUUUUCUUGAGUAGUGCAGAGGUAGGCGGAAUUCCCGGUGUAGCGGUGGAAUGCGUAGAUAUCGGGAGGAACACCAGUGGCGAAGGCGGCCUACUGGGCACCAACUGACGCUGAGGCUCGAAAGUGUGGGUAGCAAACAGGAUUAGAUACCCUGGUAGUCCACACCGUAAACGAUGAUUACUAGGUGUUGGAGGAUUGACCCCUUCAGUGCCGCAGUUAACACAAUAAGUAAUCCACCUGGGGAGUACGACCGCAAGGUUGAAACUC